Molecule: microRNA precursor, 338 nt
Filed under: Daucus carota subsp. sativus
Lineage: Eukaryota; Viridiplantae; Streptophyta; Magnoliopsida; Apiales; Apiaceae
Description: sRNA DCAR_mi00024
Rfam family: MIR167 microRNA precursor family
Source: RNAcentral
CCUGAGAGAUUGAAGCUGCCAGCAUGAUCUGGUAACAUCCCCAGUAUUUCAUCUUUCUUUCUUUCUCCCACAUAGGUCAAUUACUAGCUGCUGUACUACCUAUCUAGCUAGUCACCCAAAUUUGAUCAAAUUAUGUUGAUGUGUACUUACCUAACAUAUACUAACAAAUUCAUUUACCAUAUAUCCAUUGACGGAAUCAAGAUCUCGAAACAGUUCGGCAGUCAGUGAUUAUAUUGGAAUAGUAUGGUAUAUAUAGACACAUCCUAGGCAAGUAGGUAGCAUUAGAAUAGAUACAGUUUGUUCCAUCAGGUCAUCUUGCAGCUUCAAUCACUCAGUAC